UACGUAGGGGGCAAGCGUUGUCCGGAUUUACUGGGCGUAAAGCGCGCGCAGGCGGUUCGUUAAGUCCGGCGUGAAAGCUCCCGGCUCAACUGGGAGAGGUCAUUGGAUACUGGCGGACUUGAGGGAUGCAGAGGAAGGUGGAAUUCCCGGUGUAGUGGUGAAAUGCGUAGAGAUCGGGAGGAACACCAGUGGCGAAGGCGGCCUUCUGGGCAUUUCCUGACGCUGAGGCGCGAAAGCGUGGGGAGCGAACCGG
This 253-nucleotide ribosomal RNA is filed under the name uncultured bacterium. RNAcentral describes it as "partial 16S ribosomal RNA". It matches the Rfam family "Bacterial small subunit ribosomal RNA", at positions 524 to 776 of the family's 1533-position model. The record is from RNAcentral.